This 221-nucleotide unclassified non-coding RNA is filed under the name Hevea brasiliensis (rubber tree). Lineage: Eukaryota; Viridiplantae; Streptophyta; Magnoliopsida; Malpighiales; Euphorbiaceae. The record is from RNAcentral.
GGUGCGCUUGGCCAGCGAGGGCGAGAUGCCCUUGGCGAUGUCGAGGCCGGUGGUGCCUUUGGGGAAUUCGCGCUGCGCGCCGUCCGGGAAGGUGACCUUCACUUUGUCGGUCUCGAGGUUGGCGAGGCUGUACUUCAAUCCGGGCGCGGAAGGGUCUUUAUCGGUCAUAUCAUUCUCCUGUGGCUCACUCCUGCGAACGGGCGCAGGUAAGCGGUGAGACA